This 431-nucleotide unclassified non-coding RNA is filed under the name soil metagenome. RNAcentral describes it as "partial contains 5.8S ribosomal RNA, internal transcribed spacer 2, and large subunit ribosomal RNA". The stretch from base 1 to 120 matches the Rfam family "5.8S ribosomal RNA", at positions 35 to 154 of the family's 154-position model. The record is from RNAcentral.
GAUGAAGAACGCAGCGAAAUGCGAUACGUAAUGUGAAUUGCAGAAUUCAGUGAAUCAUCGAAUCUUUGAACGCAUAUUGCGCUCUCUGGUAUUCCGGAGAGCAUGCUUGUUUGAGUAUCAGUAAACACCUCAACUCCCCUUUCUUUUUUGAAAUGGGAGCUGGACUUGAGUGAUCCCAACGCUUUUCUCACCGAAAAGUGGCGGGUUACUUGAAAUGCAGGUGCAGCUGGACUUUUCUCUGAGCUAAAAGCAUAUCUAUUUAGUCUGCCUAAAAACAGAUUAUUACCUUUGCUGCAGCUAACAUAAAGGAGAUUAGUUCUUGUGCUGACUGAUGCAGGCUUCACAGAGACAGCUUCGGCUGGCCUUUGUAAACUCGAUCUCAAAUCAAGUAAGACUACCCGCUGAACUUAAGCAUAUCAAUAAGCGGAGGA